Molecule: transfer RNA, 73 nt
Filed under: Caudoviricetes sp.
Lineage: Duplodnaviria; Heunggongvirae; Uroviricota; Caudoviricetes
Description: tRNA-Ala
Rfam family: tRNA
About the family: Transfer RNA (tRNA) molecules are approximately 80 nucleotides in length. Their secondary structure includes four short double-helical elements and three loops (D, anti-codon, and T loops).
Source: RNAcentral
GGGAUAGUAGCUCAAUUGGGAGAGCAUUUGCCUUGCAAGCAAAAGGUCGGCGGUUCGACUCCGCCCUAUUCCA